RNAcentral lists this ribosomal RNA (273 nucleotides) under uncultured bacterium. RNAcentral describes it as "partial 16S ribosomal RNA". It matches the Rfam family "Bacterial small subunit ribosomal RNA", at positions 524 to 796 of the family's 1533-position model. The record is from RNAcentral.
UACGUAGGGGGCUAGCGUUGUCCGGAAUCAUUGGGCGUAAAGCGCGUGUAGGCGGCCCGGUAAGUCCGCUGUGAAAGUCAGGGGCUCAACCCUUGAAAGCCGGUGGAUACUGUCGGGCUAGAGUGCGGGAGAGGCGAGUGGAAUUCCUGGUGUAGCGGUGAAAUGCGCAGAUAUCAGGAGGAACACCAAUUGCGAAGGCAGCUCGCUGGAACGUGACUGACGCUGAGACGCGAAAGCGUGGGGAGCAAACAGGAUUAGAUACCCGCGUAGUCC